CACGUAGUUAGCCGGCGCUUCUUCUGCAGGUACCGUCACUUUCGCUUCUUCCCUACUGAAAGAGGUUUACAACCCGAAGGCCGUCAUCCCUCACGCGGCGUCGCUGCAUCAGGCUUUCGCCCAUUGUGCAAUAUUCCCCACUGCUGCCUCCCGUAGGAGUCUGGGCCGUAUCUCAGUCCCAGUGUGGCCGGUCGCCCUCUCAGGCCGGCUACCCGUCGUCGCCUUGGUAGGCCAUUACCCCACCAACAAGCUGAUAGGCCGUGAGCCCAUCCCUGACCGAUAAAUCUUUCCACCCCCACCAUGCGGCAGAAGGUCAUAUCCAGUAUUAGCCCCGAUUUCCCGGAGUUAUCCCAAAGUCAAGGGUAGGUUGCUCACGUGUUACUCACCCGUUCGCCACUGAUCCCCCAGCAAGCUGGAGUUCACCGUUCGACUUGCAUGUGUUAAGCACGCCGCCAGCGUUCGUCCUCGUAGCCACGGAGUCAAACUACU
Molecule: ribosomal RNA, 489 nt
Filed under: uncultured Actinomycetales bacterium
Lineage: Bacteria; Bacillati; Actinomycetota; Actinomycetes; Actinomycetales
Description: partial 16S ribosomal RNA
Source: RNAcentral